Long non-coding RNA from Patella vulgata (common limpet), 657 nucleotides. RefSeq lists it as uncharacterized. The record is from RefSeq and is a predicted model, not a curated record. Lineage: Eukaryota; Metazoa; Mollusca; Gastropoda; Patellidae. The transcript is spliced from 3 exons.
AUAAAACAGGAAUUGCAAUGCGCUUAUCUAUAGAAAUUGACGUAUGAUCUUGGGUACAGUUGUAUUGGUUAACGACGUAGAUCGAGAUUUAAUAACACAAUACAAACUAUAAUACAUUUUAUUUAAGGCUUAUUGUAAAACAACUAGAAGCUGACAAAUAUUCCGGUUAAUUCUUCAGUAAAUUAUCUGGUAACACUAGCGGUUUUUUUUCCCGCGGAAACUGAUAACGUGACUCUAAAUGUUGCCGCGAAAGAUGCUUCUGGGACGCCAUAUUGGUUUUUUGGUUCGUGCCGAAGGUUGAUGUCUAAUUCCCUAAUGGCCCAAUUUAAUUUAAAGGGAAAUAAAGGGAGGCGGUCCAUAAUGGACUUAGAAAUUUACAAAGUUGUCCGAGAUAGUGUAAUGAUCAGUCAGCCGAGCUGCAAUGAAGCCGAGAUAAUAACAGCAGUUUCGGCUCAUCUAAAAUAUGAGCCGGACAGAAGAGGGACCAAUUAAGUACAUGUACAGUUUAAAUUUGUUUAUUACAUGUCAUAUUUUAUUAUAAUCUUUAUAAGCCAUUUUAAGUUCUUUUAUCAUCCAUUUAAUUUUAUUUUAUUUUCUAUGUGUGAUGUCCACAAAAUGUUAACUGCGCCAUUGAGUAUUGAGUGUUUUAUAUUGGUA